CUCCUCAAUCAUUGGCAAUAAAUGAUUAAGUUCUUCAACCUGUGUCCAAUUUAUGCCAGUAUUGUUUAAAACUAAGAUACGGAUGUUUUUCAGUUGAAGUAGCCCAGUAAUGUUCUGCGACAUUAAAUUAUCAGACAAAUUGACGGCUGUAAGAGCUGGUAAUUGCUCACAAAUAGUACUGACAUCCUUCCAUUCUGAAAUCAAAUUUCCUGUCAAGUCUAACUCCUUCAGAUUUGGUACUAAACUGCUGAUAUCGCUUGGGUUUCCAGGGGUGCUAACGCCUAAAUAAGGUAGUGAAGCACCUUUCAACUCUUCAAAUCUACUUAGCUUAUCUUG
Molecule: unclassified non-coding RNA, 336 nt
Filed under: Hevea brasiliensis (rubber tree)
Lineage: Eukaryota; Viridiplantae; Streptophyta; Magnoliopsida; Malpighiales; Euphorbiaceae
Source: RNAcentral